RNA transcript from Prosopis cineraria, 2991 nucleotides. It is a transcript of the gene named methylcrotonoyl-CoA carboxylase subunit alpha, mitochondrial, with no coding region annotated. The record is from RefSeq and is a predicted model, not a curated record. The transcript is spliced from 17 exons. NCBI's taxonomy places the organism in Eukaryota, Viridiplantae, Streptophyta, Magnoliopsida, Fabales, Fabaceae.
UACAUCAAAUGACUAAAACACCUUCCUCUCGUACUUAUCUUCCUUUUCUGUCCGAUCUUCAUCUUCUCAAGCUCAAGUGCUCAAAUCUCGGAGUCCGCUUCCAAUCCAUCACUUCCAUGGCUUCUCUCAUCAUUAUCCGUAGAAAGCUUGCUACUAGACCCUUCAAUGUCACCUACACUCGAACGUUCUCCCAGCUGUCCUCAUCAGGGGAGAAAGCCGCUCGACAGCGGAUUGAGAAAAUUCUGAUAGCCAACAGGGGUGAAAUAGCAUGCAGGAUCAUAAGGACUGCGAAGAGGCUUGGUAUUCGGACUGUUGCUAUUUACAGUGAUGCUGAUAAGGACUCGCUCCACGUCCAAUCGGCUGAUGAAGCCAUACGGAUUGGACCCCCUCCGGCUCGGUUCAGUUACUUGAAUGGGCCCUCCAUUGUUGAUGCUGCCAUACGUACUGGUGCGCAGGCUGUCCACCCUGGAUAUGGUUUCCUAUCCGAAAGUGCUGAUUUUGCCCAGCUAUGUGAAGAUAGGGGUCUUACCUUCAUUGGCCCUCCAGCAUCUGCCAUCCGGGAUAUGGGUGACAAAAGUGCAUCAAAGAGGAUAAUGGGGGCAGCAGGGGUGCCACUUGUUCCUGGAUAUCAUGGAAAUGAACAAGAUAUUGAUAAAAUGAAGUUGGAAGCUGAAAAAAUUGGAUAUCCAAUCUUAAUAAAGCCAACCCAUGGAGGUGGAGGAAAGGGCAUGAGGAUUGUGCACACUCCAAAUGAGUUUGUUGAGUCCUUCUUAGCUGCACAGCGUGAAGCAGCAGCUUCCUUUGGGAUAAGCACAAUACUGCUGGAGAAGUAUAUUACACGGCCAAGGCACAUAGAAGUCCAGAUUUUUGGGGACAAGCAUGGGAAUAUUCUGCAUUUAUAUGAGAGAGAUUGCAGCGUGCAGAGAAGACACCAGAAAAUAAUUGAAGAAGCCCCAGCCCCAGAUGUUUCUACAGAUUUUCGUGUACACUUGGGUCAAGCUGCUGUCUCUGCAGCAAAGGCAGUUAAUUAUUACAAUGCUGGGACAGUGGAGUUUAUAGUUGAUACAAUCUCUGGCCAGUUUUACUUUAUGGAGAUGAAUACCCGUCUUCAGGUUGAGCAUCCAGUCACAGAGAUGAUUGUUGGUCAAGAUCUUGUAGAAUGGCAAAUCCAUGUUGCUAAUGGUGAAGUUCUUCAGUUGAGUCAGUCACAAGUUCCGUUCUUAGGUCAUGCUUUUGAAGCUCGAAUAUAUGCAGAAAAUGUUCCAAAGGGGUUUCUUCCAGCAACUGGAGUUCUUCAUCAUUAUCAUCAUAAUCCGGUCUCCUUAACAGUUCGAGUGGAGACUGGAGUUAAGGAAGGUGACACUGUCAGCAUGCACUAUGAUCCCAUGAUUGCUAAGCUUGUGGUCUGGGGCAAAAAUCGUGCUGCAGCUUUGGUCAAACUGAAGGAUUGUUUGUCAAAAUUUCAGGUUGCAGGGCUACCAACCAAUAUCAAUUUUCUUCAAAAGCUUGCGAACCACCAUGCUUUUGAAAACGGCAAGGUGGAGACUCAUUUUAUUGAUAACUACAAAGAUGAUCUCUUUGAGGAUCAGAAGAACUCUGUUUUAGCUAAAGAAGCAUAUGAAGCUGCCAGGCUUAGUGCAUCCCUGGCGGCUGCAUGUCUCAUUGCAAAAGAACAUUUCAUGUUGACAAGAAAUCCCCCUGGGAGUGGCAGCUUACAUCCUAUAUGGUAUGCUUAUCCGCCUUUCAGAGUACAUCAUCAAGUCAAGCGUAGUAUGGAACUUGAAUGGGAUUAUGAUUAUGAUAGUAGUAACUCCAAGCUUUUGAAGCUUACUGUCACUUGUCAGCCUGAUGGCAGAUACCUGAUUGAGACGGAAGAACAAGGAUCUCCUGCUUUAGAAUUCAAAGCAACAUAUUUAAGAGACCAUUAUUUUAGAGUUGAAGCUGAUGGUGUGAACAAAGAAGUUAAUCUAGCUGUCUACUUAAAGGAUCACAUUAGGCAUAUUCAUGUGUGGCAAGGGUCUUGUCAUCAUCAUUUCAGAGAAAAAAUAGGGCUUGAGUUGUCUGAGGAUGAUGAAUCCCAACAUAAGCCCAAAUUUGAAGCAGCAGCCCACCCUCGGGGUACUGUUAUGGCCCCCAUGGCUGGCUUGGUGGUUAAAGUUAUGGUGAAGAACAAGACAAAAGUAGAAGAGGGGCAGCCUGUAUUAGUUUUAGAAGCAAUGAAGAUGGAGCAUGUUGUAAAGGCACCAUCAUCUGGCUACGUUAAUGGGCUUCAAGUUACGGCUGGUGAGCAGGUUUCUGAUGGUAGUGUUCUUUUCAAUGUAAAGGAGUCAGGAUGAAUAAAUCGAUACAUAGAACACUGCUUCCAACCAAGCUCUUGUCAAGGGAGACCUCUUUCUGGAUGAUUAAGAUUUAAGAGCGAAGUAAUCACCUGGCUUUCACAACGCCUGUUACAUGCCGAUGAAUUGAUUCUGAACAAAAUAGGAAAGUCCUUAUCCACCACGUUGAAUGCUUGUUCAUCAAUCCACGAAACACAAAUGGGUGCUUGGGGUAUGGAAUGGGAGGCAAAUAAGGUUUGGCUUCAGAGGGAGAAUGCCCACUUUUAGCUCCACUAUCGACCUCUUGGGGUUCCUUACCAUUCUGUAUGGUGACUGUCAUAACUUGCUCUUGUGGAUUGACUUCGAUAUUGCUUGGAAGUUUAUUUUGGCUCUUUCUAAUAACUAAGCUAGCCAAAUUGCUUAUUUGAUCUCCAUAUUCCCCAAAGAAUUACCUAUUCGAGAUUCUAUAUUCUUCAUAAAAGCUUGAGUUGAAGUAACUGUUUGUUUAAGUUGGUCAAUCUCUUGAUUCAUACUCUUCAUACUAUUCACUUAGUGAUUUGCCAUUUGAGCCAAAGCUUCUUCCAAGUUCAUUGCACGAUCGUCAAUUGUGUUUCUUUGUUAUUGAAAGCCUGAUGGUGCUUAUGUCUUUUGAGUGCUAUAAUUUUUUCAAGAGAAA